CGAACGGCAGCACGGGGGCAACCCUGGUGGCGAGUGGCGAACGGGUGAGUAAUACAUCGGAACGUGCCCAGUCGUGGGGGAUAACGUAGCGAAAGCUACGCUAAUACCGCAUACGAACUCAGGUUGAAAGCGGGGGAUCGCAAGACCUCGCGCGAUUGGAGCGGCCGAUGGCAGAUU
RNAcentral lists this ribosomal RNA (177 nucleotides) under uncultured Comamonadaceae bacterium. RNAcentral's name for it is "partial 16S ribosomal RNA". It matches the Rfam family "Bacterial small subunit ribosomal RNA", at positions 63 to 242 of the family's 1533-position model. The record is from RNAcentral. Lineage: Bacteria; Pseudomonadati; Pseudomonadota; Betaproteobacteria; Burkholderiales; Comamonadaceae.